RNAcentral lists this ribosomal RNA (1413 nucleotides) under uncultured bacterium. RNAcentral's name for it is "bacterial SSU rRNA". It matches the Rfam family "Bacterial small subunit ribosomal RNA". The record is from RNAcentral.
AGAGUUUGAUCAUGGCUCAGGACGAACGCUGGCGGCGUGCCUAACACAUGCAAGUCGAACGGGGAGUUAUUUAUAACUCCUAGUGGCGAACGGGUGAGUAACGCGUAGACAACCUGCCUCUAAAUUGGGGACAACACCGCGAAAGUGGUGCUAAUACCGAAUGUGGUAUCUUGGUCGCAUGACUGAGAUAAGAAAGGUGGCCUCUGAAUAUGCUACCGAUUAGAGAUGGGUCUGCGUCUGAUUAGCUAGUUGGUGAGGUAACGGCUCACCAAGGCGACGAUCAGUAGCCGGUCUGAGAGGAUGAACGGCCACACUGGGACUGAGACACGGCCCAGACUCCUACGGGAGGCAGCAGUGAGGAAUCUUCCGCAAUGGACGAAAGUCUGACGGAGCAACGCCGCGUGAGUGAAGAAGGUCUUCGGAUUGUAAAGCUCUGUCGUUUGGGACGAACGUGGGAUGUGUGAAUAAUGCAUUCUAAUGACGGUACCAAAGGAGGAAGCCACGGCUAACUACGUGCCAGCAGCCGCGGUAAUACGUAGGUGGCAAGCGUUGUCCGGAAUUAUUGGGCGUAAAGGGCGUGUAGGUGGAUUUUUAAGUCGUGUGUCUAAGUGCGGGGCUCAACCCCGUAUAGGCGCAGGAAACUGGAGAUCUUGAGUGCAGGAGAGGAAAGUGGAAUUCCCAGUGUAGCGGUGAAAUGCGUAGAUAUUGGGAGGAACACCAGUGGCGAAGGCGACUUUCUGGACUGUGUCUGACACUGAGGCGCGAAAGCCAGGGGAGCGAACGGGAUUAGAUACCCCGGUAGUCCUGGCCGUAAACGAUGGGUACUAGGGUGUAGAGGGUAUCGACCCCUUCUGUGCCGCAAGCAAACGCAAUAAGUACCCCGCCUGGGGAGUACAGACGCAAGGUUGAAACUCAAAGGAAUUGACGAGGGCCCGCACAAGCGAUCGAGUAUGUGGUUUAAUUCGACGCAACGCGAAGAACCUUACCAGGACUCGACACUGACUGAAAAACUAAGAGAUCAGUGCCUAUCCUUCGCGAUACACGAAAACAGGUGGUGCAUGCCUGUCCUCAGCUCGUGUCGUGAGAUGUUGGCUAAAGUCCCGCAACGAGCGCAACCCUUAUCCUUUGUUGCCAGCACGUAAUGGUGGGAACUCAAGAGAGACUGCCGCAGACAAUGCCGAGGAAGGCGAGGAUGACGUCAAGUCAUCAUGCCCCUUAUGUCCUGGGCUACACACGUACUACAAUGGGCUUAAACAAAGCGAAGCAAGCCCGCGAGGGUAAGCCAAACGCAUAAACAAGCUCUCAGUUCGGAUCGGAGGCUGCAACUCGCCUCCGUGAAGUCGGAAUCGCUAGUAAUCGCAGGUCAGCAUACUGCGGUGAAUACGUUCCCGGGCCUUGCACACACCGCCCGUC